Molecule: long non-coding RNA, 1183 nt
Organism: Marmota flaviventris (yellow-bellied marmot)
Lineage: Eukaryota; Metazoa; Chordata; Mammalia; Rodentia; Sciuridae
Source: RefSeq, a predicted model, not a curated record
GUGGAUAGGUUUACCCCAGGUCCCCAGGUUUGCCAAUGAAAUGCGAUCCCUGCUUCAUUUUCUUCUGGACUUGAGGUCAUUAUUUUCUGUGUGGAAACUAGAGAUUCAUUUGGCAGUUCAAGACCUGCGGAUGUGAACCAGGUCCCCAGGCGACUGGAAGACUCCAGGAUUUGGAGUCCAGAUGGGCGAUAAAAACAUUUUUGAGGAGGAAAAAAUGGUUCCCAGUGUGAGGUAAUGGAUAGAAGUAAAGUACACGACCUUGAGGACUCCCUUUUCAGAAGUAACUGGGUACAAAGAGCUUUUAUAGGGAUAAAAGGGAGGAACAGGGCAAGAAGGCAAUGUCCUGAGCCAAGUCUUUGUCAUCCUGGGCAUGUCUCCCUUAUUUUCAUGCCCAAUAAUUAAAAAUCUCAAUGAUCCUGAACUUCCUGGGGCUACUUCUAUAGUUGAUGCAGAGAACUGAAGACUAAAGGCUGGGGGGUGGGGGGUGUCACCAAGGAUAGCAGGUGGAAAUCUGAAGAAAGAUUAGUUAGCAGUUAACAUCUUCACCACAUAGGUGGGGCUUCUCUUUACAACUUAUAAUCACAGCAAAAGGGAGGUGGUAUAAACCUUGAAGAAGGAUUAGGGAGUGGGACAAAAAGGGAAAUGGAGGGGACAGAAAAGGAUUGGGGAGGGAGGUGAACAUAAUUCUGCUAAAGACAACUUUCUAAAGGGACUUCUCUGUAAUAGCACCCUUGGAAAUCCUAAGCAUAACAUGCAGUAGUCAGGCCAUACAGGUAUAGUAGUUCAAGGACUUAGAGGUAAAUUAGGAAAAAACUAGACCACAAGAGACAGUAAUAUACAGUCAGCUUUAUUAAGUGGCACUUCACAGAUUCUUGAAAGGGGUGUCCCUCCCAACAGAGAUGGCAGCAUGAGACCACUGCCCAAGGGAAUAAAUAUUAUCUUCUAGGGGAAACAAGGGUAUUAUGCAUGUAGGUGAUGAUGUAGCAAUGAGUAGGGAGUCUCAAGAGUUCUGAAGGGUGUCAGUGGGUGUUUUGUUUGUUUAUAGUUAUAGCAUUUGUCUAAACUAUUGUUAACACAUGUUGGUGCUUCAGGGGUAUGCAAAGUGGAUGGGCUCUAAAUGGCCAAAAAUAUGUUUAUGUGAUGUAUAACUGUAAUGCACCAAUAAAAAAUGUGGAAAAAUGUU